Molecule: ribosomal RNA, 735 nt
Filed under: Abelmoschus esculentus (okra)
Lineage: Eukaryota; Viridiplantae; Streptophyta; Magnoliopsida; Malvales; Malvaceae
Description: eukaryotic LSU rRNA
Rfam family: 5.8S ribosomal RNA (bases 291-446)
Source: RNAcentral
GGAAGGAGAAGUCGUAACAAGGUUUCCGUAGGUGAACCUGCGGAAGGAUCAUUGUCGAAGCCUGCCCAGCAGAACGACCCGCGAACGUGUUAUCGAAAAACAACGGGUGGGGCGAGGCGGCAUCCCCGCCCAUCGUCCCCCUACCCUCGCCUCUCGGGGCGAAACGAACAAACCCCCGGCGCGAAUCGCGCCAAGGAAUCUGAAUUGAAAGGAGCACGUCCCCCGUCGCCACCCCGUCCGCGGUGCGUGUGCCGCGGGGACGCUGCGACUUCGUCGUGAAUACACAAAACGACUCUCGGCAACGGAUAUCUCGGCUCUCGCAUCGAUGAAGAACGUAGCGAAAUGCGAUACUUGGUGUGAAUUGCAGAAUCCCGUGAACCAUCGAGUCUUUGAACGCAAGUUGCGCCCCAAGCCGUUAGGCCGAGGGCACGUCUGCCUGGGUGUCACGCAUCGUCGCCCCCAUCCAACCCUUUCCCCGGAGGGAACGGGUUGCGUUGCGGGCGGACAAUGGCCUCCCGUCCGCGCAUCGCCCGCGGUUGGCCCAAAAUCGAGUCAUCGGCGACCACGGUGCCGCGACGAUCGGUGGUAACGCUUCGGGCUGCCUCGUUCGUAGUCGCGCGCUACCGUCGACCCCGGCUCUCCGACCCUUCCUGCACCGCGAACACGGUGCUCGCGUCGCGACCCCAGGUCAGGCGGGACUACCCGCUGAGUUUAAGCAUAUCAAUAAGCGGAGGA